GGUGUUUGCUUGCCCGCGGCCUGAUGAGAUGGAGGUGUGUGUGGAGCAGGAUGAGGUCACGCCCCCUUACCUGGAGCCAGCCGUCUCCACUCUCCUGCUGGGACCGCCCCCCGAUUGCUCCUCCAAUUGCAUCACAAUAACCAGCACUCAGCCCUCCCCUCAGCACAGCAGCCUAUCACCACGAGCCAGGCGCAGAGAGAGGGAGGGAUCGUUUGAAGGUUUUGGUCCAAUCUUCCAGAACUUUCCUCUUCUCUCGCCUCAGCCCCUCUCUCUGACGCCCAUCGGCCCCAGACCCGAUCCCAGAGCCUCGGACGAGGGAUCCCCCAAACGCCCCCCCAAAACCCCCCUCAAGCGCACCCCCACCGGACCCCCUGCCGACCUGCCCACAGACACCCCCAAACGCAAGGCCGUAGCCGCCAAGACCCAAGCUAGCGACAAAAUGGCUGCCAAACCUGUGGACAGGAAGCAAGAAGCUGCCUCUAAUUCGCC
This is a long non-coding RNA of Clupea harengus (Atlantic herring), 489 nucleotides long. The record is from Ensembl. Lineage: Eukaryota; Metazoa; Chordata; Actinopteri; Clupeiformes; Clupeidae.